CCGAAUCGAUUUUGACCGAUUUUAAGAAAACUAAAAUCGAUACCAGACCAAACCAACUUCGAAACCGGACCGUUGCCACCGAUUUGGUCCAGUCCGAUCCGAUUUACCGAUUUAUCGGUUCUUUUUUACACCCCUAAGCCUUCCAUCCCCCUCCAUCCCAGUCGAAACCAUCAUCCCCAUUCCCAACCAUUGUCGUCCCCAAGAACCCAGUGGCUUCUCUGACUGAGCUGGACAACGAAGCCAGUGAUUGGUUGUGGUGAUUCGUCGUGACAAAUUUCUAUACGAAGCCAGUAGCUAUUCGUGUUCUCCACGAAGUCUCCGUGGGUCUUCGUCUUCUCCUCGAACCCAAGAGGCAUGAACCAUGCUCAUGGGUUCCCAAGGGCCAUUAACCCCAUUUGAACCCACGAACCCCUUUCAUCUUGUCCACCCAAAUCGCACCGAAACCCUAGAAAAGCCUCAACGACCUUUCCUCAUGUCUAGUUGUUUUCCUCCCUACCGUUUACUCCUUCCCCUCUCUCCCUCUCUCUGUGUUUCAUGGAGACAAUGAAGACUAGUCAAAACUUCCUUCCCUAUGUGAAUUCUUGCGAGGGGAAGUAGGUUUCUCAAAUGGGUUGCUUUCUUGUUUGCUUUGGUCAUACAAAAGAUGGGAGGAAACAACGAAAAUAGAGCCAGAACAAGUUUCAUCCCCAUGAUGACGUAGGGUAGGGGUGAGUCUGCAAAGGAGUUGAGCUUUAGGGCCAAAAGAAAGUAACAUUUGACUCCAAUGUCAAGACCCAUGAACAUGUUACCUGCAGAGAAGCUCCGGACCUUUUAUUGCAAAGUGAAAUCGGUGGGAAGGGGGAGGAACUUUUUUAGGCUCUUGUAUUAAGGGAGGGGCAUCUUGGAGUGUUGUCAUUAAAAGAUGGCAUUAGUGUUGUGCCAUCAGGUUGGCAUUGGGAUUGUCUGUCCUUGGAGUGUUGGUUUGAUGUGGAGUUUGGGAUUUUAUGUACUUAGAUCCAUGGUCCCCUGAAUAUUAUAAACUUAUUGGGGGAGUAUACUUUUGAUAUGUGUUGAAUUUUGACUACUACUUCAUUAACCUUGUAUUGAUUAAUUUCUAUUGGAGAACCCUUUUUUAA
Long non-coding RNA from Carya illinoinensis, 1115 nucleotides. RefSeq lists it as uncharacterized. The record is from RefSeq and is a predicted model, not a curated record. The transcript has 2 exons. Lineage: Eukaryota; Viridiplantae; Streptophyta; Magnoliopsida; Fagales; Juglandaceae.